RNAcentral lists this ribosomal RNA (460 nucleotides) under uncultured bacterium. RNAcentral describes it as "partial 16S ribosomal RNA". It matches the Rfam family "Bacterial small subunit ribosomal RNA", at positions 338 to 795 of the family's 1533-position model. The record is from RNAcentral.
CCUACGGGAGGCAGCAGUGAGGAAUAUUGGUCAAUGGGCGAGAGCCUGAACCAGCCAAGUCGCGUGAAGGAUGAAGGCUCUAUGGUUUGUAAACUUCUUUUAUAUGGGAAUAAAGUGAGGAACGUGUUCCUUUUUGUAUGUACCAUAUGAAUAAGCAUCGGCUAACUCCGUGCCAGCAGCCGCGGUAAUACGGAGGAUGCGAGCGUUAUCCGGAUUUAUUGGGUUUAAAGGGUGCGUAGGUGGUUAAUUAAGUCAGCGGUGAAAGUUUGUGGCUCAACCAUAAAAUUGCCGUUGAAACUGGUAGACGGGAGGAUAUUUGAGGUAGGCGGAAUGCGUGGUGUAGCGGUGAAAUGCAUAGAUAUCACGCAGAACUCCGAUUGCGAAGGCAGCUUACUAAACUAUAACUGACACUGAAGCACGAAAGCGUGGGGAUCAAACAGGAUUAGAUACCCCGGUAGUC